Long non-coding RNA from Cavia porcellus (domestic guinea pig), 1084 nucleotides. RefSeq lists it as uncharacterized. Lineage: Eukaryota; Metazoa; Chordata; Mammalia; Rodentia; Caviidae. The record is from RefSeq and is a predicted model, not a curated record. The transcript is spliced from 2 exons.
GGCCGCAUUUGCAGGCCUUGGAGUGGAGCGGGCAGGAAGGGAAGCACAGGAUGUUGUCUGGCUUCCUGGUAUUCUUAAAAGUUUUUACUGAAGCUUUGUUUUUGUCUUAUUAUUUUUUUUCAAAGACAGCAGUGUAGUAAAGUCUUUAGUAAAAUGAAAGCCCAAGGCAUCACCAAUUCCCUCUGAGAGGACCUGGACUGGAUUCUCCCAGAGUCUGAGCAAAGCCAUGCCCCAUGCCCGGCAUCUUGGGAAUGCGGGGGUGAGUGGUCAGCCUUCUGCCGUCACUGGCUGAAUGAACAGACCAUAAUGGGUCAAUUCUCUGCUGUCUGCUAUUUAAAACAACGGGUUCCUUCCUGUUUCCUAUGAGCUGACUGAGCCUUCUUCUGUGUUAGGGAGAGAGAGAGAGAAAAAAGAAACUCGGGAAUAAAGUGGCCCCUCUGAGACUGAAUGAGCUACACAUCUCGGCCCGCUGGGCCACAAAAGCUCCUAACUGUUUUAUCUGUCCAGAUGGUUUUCAUUUGCUGUUGGUGGCAUGACUCUCUGAGCUGAACUGAACCAGUGUGGUGCUGGGUGUGGAAGACCCAUCUGAGGAUUGUUGCCAACAGCACAAAGCAGAACUGGAAGGGAUGGCGUGCUGUUGCUUCUCCUGGAGAAACUUCUUGCACUGAUUUUCCUAAUAUGAACCCAGCUGUUAUCAUCAGAGGGGCUGGGUUGCUCACUGUCACUGAGGAUGGCUGCGGUUCUCCUGAGGGCGCUCUGGUCCUUGCAUCAUUUCCUGGCUCCCUUGACCUGUUGGCGCAGAUCCUACAUCCUGCUGGGGAGGACUUUCUAGCUUCUACCACUGAGCUGUGGGCCUUCCCAGUGAAGAUCCUUGAACACAUCUGCAUGAGACGUUGUGGGCUCUGGGCUUCCAGCUGGACUCGUGGAGGACAUCAUCGUGAGAUCCAGGCCCUCAGCUGGAUUCAUUGGAUCUCUAGUGCAUGAGCAGAUCUUUUCUGCACUUUUCUGCAUUUGACUUUUUGGGUGACUCUUACAAAAUAAUCCUAUAAAUUGUGUCCUAUAUUAAAUCUAUUCCCUUGUAAAA